This is a long non-coding RNA of Neopsephotus bourkii (Bourke's parrot), 2025 nucleotides long. RefSeq lists it as uncharacterized. The transcript is spliced from 3 exons. NCBI's taxonomy places the organism in Eukaryota, Metazoa, Chordata, Aves, Psittaciformes, Psittacidae. The record is from RefSeq and is a predicted model, not a curated record.
AUGGUGUGAAAUGGUAGUGGCUCUGAGAAGAUAAAGAAGUGACUUUGUGGUUCCACCUGGCCCUCAGGAGUAGGAUAUGCCCCUGGCAGUGCUGUGAGAUGGGGCUUCCUCCUGCCCCAGGCGGUGGGUGAUGCUCUCCAGAACCAGCCAUUGGAGACAUCAGUUCUUCUAAUCUGUGAUGUUCUGCAUUGAUACCACUUGUAUUGCUGCUGCCUGCUAACCACAGCCCACAUUAAAGCAAAUGACAGUCCUGCACCUUGCAUUAAACAAGGCUCGUGUCUGGCCAUAGUCUUUGCUGAGAUCAGGUGGUGGGUGUGUUGAGAAGUCUCUCUUGGUGGUGCCUGCCUCCUGCAGGAGCUGUGUACAGCUAUACAGUUGAUGGUGUGCCAUUCAUCCCAAAAAGGCAGCUUUGAGCUUUCUCCUGUGCCCAGAACAGCAGGCCAGGUACCUCCUCCUUCAUGUCAUUGGAGUCCUCAGUGUGUGACAGAAGCAAGCUGGAUGUGGAGGGUUUGUGGAAGGACUGCUAUCAUCACAUCGUGAAGCACUAAGUAGCAAUAGCACUUGUUGAAAUGAAUGCUCAGUCUGCAUCUGAGAGUAACAAGGCCACUUCUCUGGACUGUCUCCUUGAGAAUUAAAGCUCCCCCCCUUAGGUGAACCAGAUAACCACAGCUCCUUGGCAAGACAUAACACAUGGUGGAAGUUUUUAACUCAACAGAAAGCUGCAUGGCAGGGAUAAAGAUCUUGUGGAGGUGCAAAAAAAGCUUUGGUAGGUAAGAAGCAGGUUGAAAAUGAGAUAUCAGUGUAAAUGGGGAAGGGCUCGAGUGAGUUCUUAAGUGUGGAAAGAUGACAUGCUACAGAGGGUAUUCCAGCAUGAUGAUGAUUCACAUUAGUAGUUGUUGGUGUGAGUUUACAAAUUCGAUGGCCAAUUUUUCAGCUCAAAUCCCACUGCCAUUGUCCUCUGUAGGAAGAAUUGUGGGGUUUUUAGUUUGGUUUCAUCUCCCUUAACUCCUCUAGUCCCUGGCAUUUGUUCCUCACACUGCUUGGAUGUUCAUGACCUUUCAUCUUUCUCCCAGUUAUCAGGUGCAGGAUGUCAGUACAAGCAUCUCAGUGUUCAUAAGACACUGCUCUAAGUAGAGCACCAGAGAAAACAAUGUAAGGCCAAUGUAGUGAGCUCAGAAGAGAGGUAGCUACAGAAUCAGCACUGAGUCACCUAACUGCUCGAGGUGGAGGCCUGUUUUCAGUGAAAGCUGAAAUGAGUCCCUAAUUCCCCUUUUAAAGAUAAGGAGCCCUCCCAGUUCGUUUUACAUCUAAUUUUUAGUGUACAAGCAUCCUGUGUAUAAGCAAAAGACUUUGGACUGCAAUUGGGCAAAAGGUAUAAACUUAACAAUGUCAUCAUCACCCCAGCUAAUUAAAGAGUUCUAUUAAGAAUUAAUAGGUCUGGGAGUCAAGAGACCCUGGUAAAGAAGCAAGUCACUGUAAGAAGUCACUUUUUCAAUUUGCUAUUUAAAUAACUCCUUGGAGUCUCCUAAACUGCACAACCCCAAAAUCACAAGAAUUCCAGUGCUGAACAGGAAGAAGACACUUACCCAGCAACCUGCUGUCUCCUUUCUGCUGAUCUGACCUACUGCUAGCACAUAAAACUAGUUUUGGAACUAUAAUCCCUUCACCAGACAGGAGUGCUAGAACUCCACAAACAGUCCAUGCUUUCUAAAAGCAAAUCAUUUCUCUCUCACUAACCCUUCAAUUCCUGGGAACAAUGCAGUGGCAGGAAAAGGCCUGAUUCUUAGUACCUUCUUUUGCCAAGUGUUGAUCCUGCUCAGGUAGCAGAAGCAGAGCUACUUUCUCCUAAUAACAGCUGCAGGUACAACACCUAGGGGCUCUGAAACACACAAAGCUGUGCAUAGCGUGCUAGGUAAGUGUGCUGACUUGAUUGAAAGGCACAGAGUAAAUCUUCAACCUCAGCAGCAAGAAGUUCAAAGUACAUCUCAUCCUAUUGUACUGCUGCAGGGAUAACACUGAAGGAGG